This is a long non-coding RNA of Panicum virgatum (switchgrass), 550 nucleotides long. RefSeq lists it as uncharacterized. Lineage: Eukaryota; Viridiplantae; Streptophyta; Magnoliopsida; Poales; Poaceae. The record is from RefSeq and is a predicted model, not a curated record. The transcript is spliced from 2 exons.
GUUCCCCCUCCCGUCCUCGCACGCGCAGAUCCUCCGGAGUCCGGCCUCUCGCGUCUUCGUUCCCCCUCCUCCCGUCCUCCAGCUUGCAUGCGCAGAUCACCGCCUGCUAGCCUCCUGCGUCUUCUGCGGCAGCCAUGGUUCCGGCCUCCCCUUCCUGUCGGCGGCGGCAACAGCAGGUGUGGUGACGGUCAUCGCGUCGCAUCGCAGCCUGGACAACGGCUGGCAAGUUCCAGGAUCACCGGUCAGGCCUAGGCUCUCCCGCUCUCGAGGACGAGGGGAUCAGUACAGCCAACGUUGGAGCAGAGGUAGAGAGCCAAGUUGUGAUAUUUCAUGGCUGCUAGCUGCUGAUCACAGUUCUUUUUCCGUGUAUGUGGAUACACAUGCUUUUCUUUUGGUUGAACAGUGUUUAUACUCUGAAAAUUUGUGUAGCAUCGUUCUCCAGUGCUGGCCUCCAUAUACAUGCCUUGUGCAUGCCAUUUGUUCGAUGAAAUGUAUCAGUGAAAUAGCUAAGUUGUGUACUUGUGUAUCAAUCAUCCAUUCAUCCCUAUCC